This 570-nucleotide ribosomal RNA is filed under the name Debaryomyces macquariensis. RNAcentral describes it as "eukaryotic LSU rRNA". It matches the Rfam family "Eukaryotic large subunit ribosomal RNA", at positions 62 to 648 of the family's 3401-position model. The record is from RNAcentral. Lineage: Eukaryota; Fungi; Ascomycota; Pichiomycetes; Serinales; Debaryomycetaceae.
AAACCAACAGGGAUUGCCUUAGUAACGGCGAGUGAAGCGGCAAAAGCUCAAAUUUGAAAUCUGGCACCUUCGGUGUCCGAGUUGUAAUUUGAAGAAGGUAACUUUGGAAUUGGCUCUUGUCUAUGUUCCUUGGAACAGGACGUCACAGAGGGUGAGAAUCCCGUGCGAUGAGAUGCCCAAUUCUAUGUAAAGUGCUUUCGAAGAGUCGAGUUGUUUGGGAAUGCAGCUCUAAGUGGGUGGUAAAUUCCAUCUAAAGCUAAAUAUUGGCGAGAGACCGAUAGCGAACAAGUACAGUGAUGGAAAGAUGAAAAGAACUUUGAAAAGAGAGUGAAAAAGUACGUGAAAUUGUUGAAAGGGAAGGGCUUGAGAUCAGACUUGGUAUUUUGCGAUCCUUUCCUUCUUGGUUGGGUUCCUCGCAGCUUACUGGGCCAGCAUCGGUUUGGAUGGUAGGAUAAUGACUAAGGAAUGUGGCUCUGCUUCGGUGGAGUGUUAUAGCCUUGGUUGAUACUGCCUGUCUAGACCGAGGACUGCGUCUUUGACUAGGAUGCUGGCAUAAUGAUCUUAAGCCAC